UGCGUAGGCGGACUUGUAGGUCAGGUGUGAAAUCCCACGGCUCAACCGUGGAAUUGCGCUUGAAACCACUCGUCUUGAGGGGAUCAGAGGAGAGCGGAACUGAUGGUGGAGCGGUGAAAUGCGUUGAUAUUAUCAGGAACACCGGUGGCGAAAGCGGCUCUCUGGGAUCCUUCUGACGCUGAGGCACGAAAGCUAGGGGAGCGAACAGGAUUAGAUACCCUGGUAGUCC
This 229-nucleotide ribosomal RNA is filed under the name uncultured bacterium. RNAcentral describes it as "partial 16S ribosomal RNA". It matches the Rfam family "Bacterial small subunit ribosomal RNA", at positions 568 to 796 of the family's 1533-position model. The record is from RNAcentral.